This is a long non-coding RNA of Hypomesus transpacificus, 2309 nucleotides long. RefSeq lists it as uncharacterized. The record is from RefSeq and is a predicted model, not a curated record. NCBI's taxonomy places the organism in Eukaryota, Metazoa, Chordata, Actinopteri, Osmeriformes, Osmeridae. The transcript has 2 exons.
ACUUGUUUUCAGGUCGCCUUUGUUUACUUUGAAAUGGUUAUUUGUUGAAGUGUGCGGCACACUGCAUGUAGACAAUUAUCAAGCAACAUGACCUGUCACCCCGCAAUCACUUUCUUUUUAAACAAGCUCCAAAUAGCGAUCAACAUUUUGACUCCUAUAUUUAUUCCAAUAUUAUACCACAGUUAAUAAAAUAACUUACUCCUCAAAGUCACGUCAAAGUGAAAGUGUUUUCCCUAGCUCAACAGUGCACUGACGUAAAAAAACAACAAUGUCAUGUACCUGGAGGCAGAAGGCAACACUGAUGUUAAAGUGGUAAAAUACAUUAUUACAGAACUACAUGAUAUUGCGAUUACAUUUUAUUUAACUUAACUAAUAAUAGGCUUAUCGUUUUAAUGCAGCCACAAAACGAACAAAACAAGUUGAAAGGGAGAUCAGCCAAUCAGGGCAAACAAGCUCUUGCCAGAGCAACAAUGUCCAUUACCUAUGCACGUUUGUACAGUAUCGUAAUUUAAUUCACACGACUGCAAGGAAACUACAGAUCAUCCAAGCACUUUGAAAGGUACAUUUUCUUAUGUAUAAUAAUCUAAUAUGUUUCUGUCUUUUCUGAUGUUAUACUAAAGGUUAACCAAUUGUUUUCAUCAACGAUAAACGUCAACAUGUACAAGUUAGCUAUACUUUUGAGUAAUAGUUUAUAGACGUAGCUCUAGGUUAACUUCAAUUUAGCACAAUAACCUUGAAACAACGUAGAUUGCGCUUUUAAAAAGAUCAUACUUUUAUUCUCUCUGGACCCCACUAAUAUGUUCGUUUACUAAAACAAAGCCGCUACUAUAUGCAUUUUUUCCUCGGUCCCAAACACUGUCACACUUCUGUUUUGCCCUGAACAUGUCUUAAGCUGCAGUUUCAAUGUUUACUUUUACGGCUAAUGGACUCUUCAAACUUGUUAUUAAUUUAUAGUUAAUAUGGUCUAUAUACAUAGGCAGUGUUUAAAGACAAAGAGCUCAACUUGGGAAAGGCAUUUAUUAUUUUUUCGUACAGUUUAAAGAUGUGGUUGCAAUGUCAAAUCAGUUUCACAUUUUAAACAAACUGUGUGUAAUCUGUCGAUAGAUUCAAUUUAACAUCAACUACGAAGAUGCACAUCAGAGUAGAAGGGUAUAUUCCAGGUUUCAGAAGUGAAACAAGGAACGUUUAAGGCAUACUUCACUGCUGUACUUCAGGAAGCCACCAAAACACAAAAAUGGUCAUCUUCAGGACUUCACCCCACAGAAACACAAUUGGUUUGUGUGUGAUGAAAAAAAAUAGGAACCCAGUCAAAGUUGCAGACAUAAUGCUGACCCCAUCUCGCCAAAAUCAAGGACAGAAUGCUAUUUUCAUCAAUGAACGAUCCCAAUUGACAUGUGUGCAAAACUUGGCCUUUUGUUACGAUGAGUUUCUUCCAAACAACCAGCAGACCAGAUCAAUAACGACAUCAUUUCUGAUCCAAGAACACAUCGAAUAGAAAGUCACUUAAAAUGAUUUACCAUGUAAAAAAAGAAGAAGUAGAAGAAGUGCUAUCCUAAUAUUAUACAUAUAAAUAAUGCAUCUGUUUCAAUGUCCUGUAAUAGCAAAUCAUGCCAAGGAACUUGCCAUUUGACUUUUUGUAAUACUAUAAUUUGUAACAGAUUUCACAUGAAACCUUGCAGUAAUCUGAAUGCAUAAAGGGGUUUUACAGUGUGUUGAUUUACUAAAAUGUUGUUUAAAUGUUUCCUGUGUGUGCAGGUAAAUGUACUGGUAAAAGUCUUGGAGCAGAGAGAAAAAGAGAAAAUCAUGACUAGGACCCACAAAGUGAUGGACAAACAGUGUAUGCUGUGUCUGACAUGACUGCCUCCAUCAUGGUCACGUGUGGGGAAAUGAUGUGUUGGUGAUAGACAAAUGGUACACUUUUAGAGAUGUGUCUGUCCGUUUUUUCUAUAGCAAAGUCCUGCUGACAACCACACCACAAAGCACUUUCAACAUUGCUGAAGAUUCAGGAGCAGCAAAACAUUGGUUAACCUGCUCAAUAUGAUUUUUCAUUGGGUGACAUGCCUCAAAAAACACAAAAUACAAAUUAGGUAACAAAUGAUACUAUAGUUGAAAUGUGUUUAUACUAUUUCUUAAAUUGUACCCAAUGUUUUCAAUUACAAACCUUUGUUUCAUGUUAAAAUGUAGCUGUAAUCCUUAAUCAUGUUGUGUAAUAUUGUUUUUCACUCAGUGAGAUCAUUGAAUGAUUACUAAAGAAUAAUUUGUUGAGUUUUUGUUUGUGCCUUGUUAUCACAAUUACAAAUCUCCUUGUU